CAGUCGAGAUAGCAAUAUCUUGGCGCACGGGUGAGUAACGCGUAGACAAUCUGCCCCCAUCUCUGACAUAACAUUGGGAAACUGGUGAUAAUAUCAGAUGAGGUGGAAACAUCAAAGUAUUUAUAUGGAUGGGGAUGAGUCUGCGUCUGAUUAGCUAGUUGGUAAGGUAACGGCUUACCAAGGCAACGAUCAGUAGCUGGUCUGAGAGGACGAUCAGCCACACUGGAACUGAGACACGGUCCAGACUCCUACGGGAGGCAGCAGUGAGGAAUUUUGCACAAUGGAGGUAACUCUGAUGCAGCGACGCCGUGUGUAGGAUGAAGGGGCUCUGCCCUGUAAACUACUGUCGGAUAGGAAUAAAAGUUGGGUUGCCCAACUGGGAAUGUACUAUCAAAGGAAGGAUCGGCUAACUACGUGCCAGCAGCCGCGGUAAUACGUAGGAUCCGAGCGUUGUCCGGAUUUACUGGGUAUAAAGGGUGCGUAGGCGGGUUUGUGCUUCAGAGGUUAAAGACCGCAGCUCAACUGCGGGAGUGCCUCUGAUAAGGCAAAUCUUGGAUAUGAGAGGGGUAGGUAGAAUUCCUGGUGUAGCGGUGAAAUGCGUAGAUAUCAGGAGGAAUACCAGUGGCGAAGGCGGCCUACUGGCUCAUAAUCGACGCUGAGGCACGAAAGCGUGGGGGAUCAAACAGGAUUAGAUACCCUGGUAGUCCACGCCCUAAACGAUGUAUGCUUGGUGUUGGGGAGCAAUUCUCAGUGCCGUAGGAAAUCUGUUAAGCAUACCACCUGGGGGAGUACGAUCGCAAGGUUGAAACUCAAAGGAAUUGACGG
This 825-nucleotide ribosomal RNA is filed under the name uncultured bacterium. Its description in RNAcentral is "bacterial SSU rRNA". It matches the Rfam family "Bacterial small subunit ribosomal RNA", at positions 59 to 916 of the family's 1533-position model. The record is from RNAcentral.